UGGGGAAUAUUGCACAAUGGGCGAAAGCCUGAUGCAGCAACGCCGCGUGAGUGAUGAAGGCCUUCGGGUUGUAAAGCUCUGUCUUUUGGGACGAUAAUGACGGUACCAAAGGAGGAAGCCACGGCUAACUACGUGCCAGCAGCCGCGGUAAUACGUAGGUGGCAAGCGUUGUCCGGAUUUACUGGGCGUAAAGGAUGCGUAGGCGGAUUUUUAAGUGAGAUGUGAAAUACCCGGGCUUAACUUGGGUGCUGCAUUUCAAACUGGGAAUCUAGAGUGCGGGAGAGGAGAAUGGAAUUCUUAGUGUAGCGGUGAAAUGCGUAGAGAUUAGGAAGAACACCAGUGGCGAAGGCGAUUCUCUGGACCGUAACUGACGCUGAGGCAUGAAAGCGUGGGUAGCAAACAGGAUUAGAUACCCUGGUAGUCCACGCCGUAAACGAUGAGUACUAGGUGUAGGAGGUAUCGACCCCUUCUGUGCCGCAGUUAACACAAUAAGUACUCCGCCUGGGAAGUACGAUCGCAAGAUUAAAACUCAAAUGAAUUGACGGGGUCAUAGCUGUUUUCC
Molecule: ribosomal RNA, 562 nt
Filed under: uncultured bacterium
Lineage: Bacteria
Description: partial 16S ribosomal RNA
Rfam family: Bacterial small subunit ribosomal RNA
Source: RNAcentral